GAGUUUGAUCCUGGCUCAGAAUGAACGCUAGCGAUAAGCUUAACACAUGCAAGUUGAACGCUGUUUAAUUUUUUAUCAAAACAGAGUAGCGAACGGGUGAGGAACACGUAAGAAUCUACCUCGUAAACCAAGGAAAGAUUUUUCUGAAUCUUGGAUACUAUUCUAGAAUUUUCUCAAUUUAUUAUUUCAAUAAUUAAUUAGAAUUUUAGAAAAGAAAAGUGAGUAAACGUUACGAGAUGAGCUUGCGUAGGAUUAGGUAGUUGGUAGGGUAAGAGCCUACCAAGCCCAAGAUCCUUAGCUGGUCUGAGAGGAUGAUCAGCCACACUGGGACUGAGACACGGCCCAGACGCUUUCGAGCGGCAGCAGUGAGGAAUAUUGGACAAUGGGCGAAAGCCUGAUCCAGCUAGAUCGCGUGGGUGAUGAAGACUGUAUUGGUUGUAAAGCCCUUUACUUAAAUAAAGAUUAUGACAAAGUUUAAGAAAAAAGUCCCGGCCAAUCUCGUGCCAGCAGCCGCGGUAAUACGAGAGGGGCAAGCGUUAUUCGGAAUGAUUGGGCGUAAAGAGCACGUAGACUGUUUAGAAAAUCCAACAUAAAAAAAUCAAAGCUUAACUUUGAAACUUAUUUUAGAUCGUGGAUAAAAAUGUCUUUUUGUCACUGAUUUCUAAACUGGAGUGAGUAAGAGGAGAAUGGAAUUCCUGGCGUAGAGGUAAAAUUUGUUGAUAUCAGGAGGAACACCAAAAGCGAAGGCAAUUCUCUGGUACUCUACUGACGUUGAGGUGCGAUAGCGUGGGGAUCAAAAGGGAUUAGAUACCCCUUUAGUCCACGCCGUCAACGAUGACCUUUCUAUGAAUAGUAAAAUCCUUAGUUUGCAUUAGGUGAAAUUCACUUUUUUUUUAAGGAAAAAAAAGUAAAUUCUUUGUAAUUACCAAAAUUGAAAAAUUUUUUGUAAGUACAGUUUUAGAAAAAAAUUCAUUUUUAAUACUAAAAAACCUUUUGUAAGAGGGUUUUAACGUUUAUAUUAGCUAACGCGUUAAAUGGUCCGCCUGAGGAGUACGGUCGCAAGACUAAAACUCAAAGGAAUAGACGGGGGCUCACACAAGUGGUGGAACAUGUGGUUUAAUUCGAAACAACGCGCAAAACCUUACCAGUCCUUGACAUAAUCUUUUCACAAUUUCUUUUUAUUCUGAAAUAAUUCAGUAAGUUUUUUCUUAAUACUGAAGUGAAGAUUACAGGUGUUGCAUGGCUGUCGUCAGUUCGUGUUGUGAAAUGUUGGAUUAAUUUCCUUAACGAACGAAACCCCUCUUUUCAUUCAAAAUCUCAUUUCUUUCAAAAUUGAACUAAUUAUGAAAGAAAUUAGAUGAGUUUUUAAAUGAAAUUACAGCUGGUGAUAGACUAGAGGAAGGGAGGGAUCACGUCAAGUCCUCAUGACCCUUAUGGGCUGGGCUACACACGUGUUACAAUGGUGAAUACAAAAAGGAGCAAUGAUGAAAAUCGGAGCAAAUCUCAAAAAAUUCACCCUAGUUCAGAUUGUUCUCUGCAACUCGAGAACAUGAAGCCGGAAUCACUAGUAAUCGUGGAUCAGCACGCCACGGUGAAUAUGUACCUGAGCCUUGUACUCCCCGCCCGUCACAGGCCUGAAAUUCGUAGUGUGGGAAGUCUCGAAACUAUCAAGAAGACUUCAUGAUACCUUGAUGGUAUCUUACGAUCUUCUAAAAAAGACGAGCCGAACAUAAGAUGAGUAACGGGCUUGAAGUCGUAACAAGGUAGCCGUAGGGGAACCUGCGGCUGGAUUAA
Molecule: ribosomal RNA, 1794 nt
Filed under: Chlorella sp. ATCC 30562
Lineage: Eukaryota; Viridiplantae; Chlorophyta; Trebouxiophyceae; Chlorellales; Chlorellaceae
Description: small subunit ribosomal RNA
Rfam family: Bacterial small subunit ribosomal RNA
Source: RNAcentral